AGAGUUUGAUCCUGGCUCAGGACGAACGCUGGCGGCGUGCUUAACACAUGCAAGUGGAGCGACGAACCGGGGCUUGCCCCGGGGCAGAGCCGCGAACGGGUGAGUAACACGUGGGUCACCUGCCUCAAUGACCGGGACAACCCGAGGAAACUCGGGCUAAUACCGGAUGUGCUCUUCGGAGGAAAGGUAGCUUCGGCUUCCGCAUUGAGAUGGGCCCGCGGCGCAUUAGCUUGUUGGUGGGGUAACGGCCUACCAAGGCGACGAUGCGUAGCUGGUCUGAGAGGACGAUCAGCCACACUGGGACUGAGACACGGCCCAGACUCCUACGGGAGGCAGCAGUGGGGAAUCUUGCGCAAUGCGCGAAAGCGUGACGCAGCAACGCCGCGUGGGGGAAGAAGGCCUUCGGGUUGUAAACCUCUUUCAGUUGGGACGAAGCUUCUACGGUGAAUAGCCGUAUGGAGUGACGGUACCUUCACAAGAAGCCCCGGCUAACUACGUGCCAGCAGCCGCGGUAAUACGUAGGGGGCAAGCGUUGUCCGGAAUCAUUGGGCGUAAAGCGCGUGUAGGCGGCUCGGUAAGUCCGCUCUGAAAGUCCAGGGCUCAACCCUGGGAUGCGGGUGGAUACUGCCGAGCUCGAGUCCGGAAGAGGCGAGUGGAAUUCCUGGUGUAGCGGUGAAAUGCGCAGAUAUCAGGAGGAACACCAAUGGCGAAGGCAGCUCGCUGGGACGUGACUGACGCUGAGCGCGAAAGCGUGGGGAGCAAACAGGAUUAGAUACCCUAGUAGUCC
This 787-nucleotide ribosomal RNA is filed under the name uncultured bacterium. Its description in RNAcentral is "bacterial SSU rRNA". It matches the Rfam family "Bacterial small subunit ribosomal RNA", at positions 8 to 796 of the family's 1533-position model. The record is from RNAcentral.